This 208-nucleotide ribosomal RNA is filed under the name uncultured bacterium. RNAcentral's name for it is "partial 16S ribosomal RNA". It matches the Rfam family "Bacterial small subunit ribosomal RNA", at positions 568 to 774 of the family's 1533-position model. The record is from RNAcentral.
CGCGUAGGCGGACAUGACAGUGCUUUGUGAAACUCCCCCGGCUUAACCGGGGAAUGGCUGGGCAUACUACAUGUCUUGAGGCAAGCAGGGGUGUGUGGAACUCUUGGUGGAGCGGUGGAAUGCGUAGAUAUCAAGAGGAACGCCGAAGGUGAAGACAGCACACUGGACUUGCCCUGACGCUGAGGCGCGAAAGCGUGGGGAGCAAACA